GGAUGUGACAACAUCCAUCAGAUGUUGGGUGCAACAUCUGUCACUCUAUUGAUCGCCAGGGUUGGUUCAGCUGAUUUGGCUGGCUAGGCAGGUGUCCCCUUCCUCCCUCACCACUCCAUGUGUGUCCCUCCCCCAUAGAGGAGGACUGUUCUUCCGCCAAGGGUAUAGGAGUAGCUGCGCUCCCCUGCUAGAACCUCCAAACAAGCUCUCAGAAAUGUUUUGGCCACAGUGUGCUCUUUGCAUUUUCAGAUGAUUUUAGAGUCAAUUAAUUGUAUUAAUUAAUUCUUGUAUUAAUU
This 296-nucleotide small nuclear RNA is filed under the name Microcebus murinus (gray mouse lemur). Its description in RNAcentral is "7SK RNA (ENSMICG00000023114.3)". It matches the Rfam family "7SK RNA". Rfam says of the family: 7SK was discovered as an abundant small nuclear RNA in the mid-70s but a possible function has only recently been suggested. The record is from Rfam by way of RNAcentral. Lineage: Eukaryota; Metazoa; Chordata; Mammalia; Primates; Cheirogaleidae.